CCUACGGGAGGCAGCAGUGGGGAAUUUUGGACAAUGGGCGAAAGCCUGAUCCAGCAAUGCCGCGUGUGUGAAGAAGGCCUUCGGGUUGUAAAGCACUUUUGUCCGGAAAGAAAUCCUUUGGGUUAAUACCUCGGGGGGAUGACGGUACCGGAAGAAUAAGCACCGGCUAACUACGUGCCAGCAGCCGCGGUAAUACGUAGGGUGCAAGCGUUAAUCGGAAUUACUGGGCGUAAAGCGUGCGCAGGCGGUUUUGUAAGACGGAUGUGAAAUCCCCGGGCUUAACCUGGGAACUGCAUUCGUGACUGCAAGGCUAGAGUAUGGCAGAGGGGGGUAGAAUUCCACGUGUAGCAGUGAAAUGCGUAGAGAUGUGGAGGAAUACCGAUGGCGAAGGCAGCCUCCUGGGCCAAUACUGACGCUCAUGCACGAAAGCGUGGGGAGCAAACA
This 444-nucleotide ribosomal RNA is filed under the name uncultured Pandoraea sp. RNAcentral's name for it is "bacterial SSU rRNA". It matches the Rfam family "Bacterial small subunit ribosomal RNA", at positions 338 to 774 of the family's 1533-position model. The record is from RNAcentral. Lineage: Bacteria; Pseudomonadati; Pseudomonadota; Betaproteobacteria; Burkholderiales; Burkholderiaceae.